RNAcentral lists this ribosomal RNA (253 nucleotides) under uncultured bacterium. Its description in RNAcentral is "partial 16S ribosomal RNA". It matches the Rfam family "Bacterial small subunit ribosomal RNA", at positions 524 to 776 of the family's 1533-position model. The record is from RNAcentral.
UACGUAGGGUGCGAGCGUUGUCCGGAUUUAUUGGGCGUAAAGAGCUCGUAGGCGGUCUGUCGCGUCGGAUGUGAAAACCCAGGGCUCAACCCUGGGCCUGCAUUCGAUACGGGCAGACUAGAGUAUGGCAGGGGAGACUGGAAUUCCUGGUGUAGCGGUGAAAUGCGCAGAUAUCAGGAGGAACACCGGUGGCGAAGGCGGGUCUCUGGGCCGAAACUGACGCUGAGGAGCGAAAGCGUGGGGAGCGAACAGG